CGUGUAGGCGGUCUAUCGAGUCAGGCGUGAAAGCCCCAGGCUUAACCUGGGAACUGCGUUUGAUACUGAUAGACUAGAGGUUGGAAGAGGAGAGUGGAAUUCCCAGUGUAGAGGUGAAAUUCGUAGAUAUUGGGAAGAACACCAGUGGCGAAGGCGGCUCUCUGGUCCAUACCUGACGCUGAGGCGCGAAAGCGUGGGGAGCAAACAGGAUUAGAUACCCUGGUAGUCC
RNAcentral lists this ribosomal RNA (229 nucleotides) under uncultured bacterium. RNAcentral's name for it is "partial 16S ribosomal RNA". It matches the Rfam family "Bacterial small subunit ribosomal RNA", at positions 568 to 796 of the family's 1533-position model. The record is from RNAcentral.